Long non-coding RNA from Brassica oleracea var. oleracea, 113 nucleotides. RefSeq lists it as uncharacterized. NCBI's taxonomy places the organism in Eukaryota, Viridiplantae, Streptophyta, Magnoliopsida, Brassicales, Brassicaceae. The record is from RefSeq and is a predicted model, not a curated record. The transcript has 2 exons.
UUACGAUCCAUUCAUUCUUGCUUCACAAGCUGACCAGGUUUGCUAUAUUCGUUAUCCGCGGAUUAGGCAAAGGAACGAUCCUUGGAUCGUUGUCAUGUCAAUAAAUCCCAGAA